Molecule: ribosomal RNA, 468 nt
Filed under: uncultured bacterium
Lineage: Bacteria
Description: partial 16S ribosomal RNA
Rfam family: Bacterial small subunit ribosomal RNA
Source: RNAcentral
GACGAACGCUGGCGGCGUGCUUAACACAUGCAAGUCGAACGGAAAGGCCCUGCUUUUGUGGGGUGCUCGAGUGGCGAACGGGUGAGUAACACGUGAGUAACCUGCCCUUGACUUUGGGAUAACUUCAGGAAACUGGGGCUAAUACCGGAUAGGAGCUCCUGCUGCAUGGUGGGGGUUGGAAAGUUUCGGCGGUUGGGGAUGGACUCGCGGCUUAUCAGCUUGUUGGUGGGGUAGUGGCUUACCAAGGCUUUGACGGGUAGCCGGCCUGAGAGGGUGGCCGGCCACAUUGGGACUGAGAUAUGGCCCAGACUCCUACGGGAGGCAGCAGUGGGGAAUAUUGCACAAUGGGCGGAAGCCUGAUGCAGCAACGCCGCGUGCGGGAUGACGGCCUUCGGGUUGUAAACCGCUUUCGCCUGUGACGAAGCGUGAGUGACGGUAAUGGGUAAAGAAGCACCGGCUAACUACGUG